This 445-nucleotide ribosomal RNA is filed under the name uncultured bacterium. Its description in RNAcentral is "partial 16S ribosomal RNA". It matches the Rfam family "Bacterial small subunit ribosomal RNA", at positions 354 to 796 of the family's 1533-position model. The record is from RNAcentral.
GUGAGGAAUAUUGGUCAAUGGGCGAGAGCCUGAACCAGCCAAGUCGCGUGAAGGAUGAAGGUUUUAUGAAUUGUAAACUUCUUUUGCAGGGGAAUAAAGUACGGUACGUGUACCGUUUUGUAUGUACUCUGCGAAUAAGGAUCGGCUAACUCCGUGCCAGCAGCCGCGGUAAUACGGAGGAUCCGAGCGUUAUCCGGAUUUAUUGGGUUUAAAGGGUGCGUAGGUGGAUUGAUAAGUCAGCGGUGAAAGUUUGCAGCUUAACUGUAAAAUUGCCGUUGAAACUGUCGGUCUUGAGUGCAAAUGAGGUAGGCGGAAUGUGUUGUGUAGCGGUGAAAUGCUUAGAUAUAACACAGAACUCCGAUUGCGAAGGCAGCUUACUGGGAUGCAACUGACACUGAUGCACGAAAGCGUGGGUAUCAAACAGGAUUAGAAACCCCAGUAGUCC